Molecule: non-coding RNA, 54 nt
Organism: Salmo salar (Atlantic salmon)
Lineage: Eukaryota; Metazoa; Chordata; Actinopteri; Salmoniformes; Salmonidae
Source: Rfam
AAAAAAUAUAUAUGCAUGUCGCUCUGGAUAAGAGCGUCUGCUAAAUGACUAAAA